Molecule: ribosomal RNA, 499 nt
Filed under: uncultured bacterium
Lineage: Bacteria
Description: partial 16S ribosomal RNA
Rfam family: Bacterial small subunit ribosomal RNA
Source: RNAcentral
AUUGAACGCUGGCGGCAUGCCUUACACAUGCAAGUCGAACGGCAGCACGGGAGCAAUCCUGGUGGCGAGUGGCGAACGGGUGAGUAAUAUAUCGGAACGUGCCCAGUCGUGGGGGAUAACGUAGCGAAAGCUACGCUAAUACCGCAUACGAUCUAUGGAUGAAAGCGGGGGAUCGCAAGACCUCGCGCGAUUGGAGCGGCCGAUAUCAGAUUAGGUAGUUGGUGAGGUAAAGGCUCACCAAGCCGACGAUCUGUAGCUGGUCUGAGAGGACGACCAGCCACACUGGGACUGAGACACGGCCCAGACUCCUACGGGAGGCAGCAGUGGGAAUUUUGGACAAUGGGCGCAAGCCUGAUUCAGCAAUGCCGCGUGCAGGAUGAAGGCCUUCGGGUUGUAAACUGCUUUUGUACGGAACGAAACGGCGAGCUCUAAUACAGUUUGCUAAUGACGGUACCGUAAGAAUAAGCACCGGCUAACUACGUGCCAGCCGCCGCGGUAA